RNAcentral lists this ribosomal RNA (466 nucleotides) under uncultured bacterium. Its description in RNAcentral is "bacterial SSU rRNA". It matches the Rfam family "Bacterial small subunit ribosomal RNA", at positions 29 to 507 of the family's 1533-position model. The record is from RNAcentral.
ACGAACGCUGGCGGCGUGCCUAACACAUGCAAGUCGAACGGGGUCCAUGAGAGCUUGCUCUCGGAAGACCUAGUGGCGAACGGGUGAGUAACACGUGAGAAACCUGCCUUGGAGUGGGGAAUAACUCGGGGAAACUCGAGCUAAUACCGCAUACCUUCUUUUGAUCGCAUGGUCAGCUGAAGAAAGAAUUUCGCUCCAAGAGGGUCUCGCGGCCUAUCAGUUUGUUGGUGGGGUAACGGCCUACCAAGACUACGACGGGUAGCUGGUUUGAGAGAACGAUCAGCCACACUGGAACUGAGACACGGUCCAGACUCCUACGGGAGGCAGCAGUGGGGAAUCUUGCGCAAUGGGCGAAAGCCUGACGCAGCAACGCCGCGUGCGGGAUGAAGGCCUUCGUGGUUGUAAACCGCUUUCAGCAGGGGCGAAAAUGACGGUACCUGCAGAAGAAGCCCCGGCUAACUACGUG